GACGAACGCUGGCGGCGUGUCUAAUACAUGCCAGUCGAGCGAGCUUGCCUAGAUGAAUUUGGUGCUUGCACCAAAUGAAACUAGAUACAAGCGAGCGGCGGACGGGUGAGUAACACGUGGGUAACCUGCCCAAGAGACUGGGAUAACACCUGGAAACAGAUGCUAAUACCGGAUAACAACACUAGACGCAUGUCUAGAGUUUAAAAGAUGGUUCUGCUGUCACUCUUGGAUGGACCUGCGGUGCAUUAGCUAGUUGGUAAGGCAACGGCUUACCAAGGCAAUGAUGCAUAGCCGAGUUGAGAGACUGAUCGGCCACAUUGGGACUGAGACACGGCCCAAACUCCUACGGGAGGCAGCAGUAGGGAAUCUUCCACAAUGGACGCAAUUCUGAUGGAGCAACGCCGCGUGAGUGAAGAAGGGUUUCGGCUCGUAAAGCUCUGUUGGUAGUGAAGAAAGAUAGAGGUAGUAACUGGCCUUUAUUUGACGGUAAUUACUUAGAAAGUCACGGCUAACUACGUG
Molecule: ribosomal RNA, 519 nt
Filed under: uncultured bacterium
Lineage: Bacteria
Description: partial 16S ribosomal RNA
Rfam family: Bacterial small subunit ribosomal RNA
Source: RNAcentral